UACGUAGGGUGCGAGCGUUAAUCGGAAUUACUGGGCGUAAAGCGUGCGCAGGCGGUCUGUUAAGACCGAUGUGAAAUCCCCGGGCUUAACCUGGGAACUGCAUUGGUGACUGGCAGGCUUUGAGUGUGGCAGAGGGGGGUAGAAUUCCACGUGUAGCAGUGAAAUGCGUAGAGAUGCGGAGGAACACCGAUGGCGAAGGCAGCCCCCUGGGCUAGCACUGACGCUCAGGCACGAAAGCGUGGGGAGCAAACAGG
Molecule: ribosomal RNA, 254 nt
Filed under: uncultured bacterium
Lineage: Bacteria
Description: partial 16S ribosomal RNA
Rfam family: Bacterial small subunit ribosomal RNA
Source: RNAcentral